Molecule: RNA transcript, 5916 nt
Organism: Mytilus californianus (California mussel)
Lineage: Eukaryota; Metazoa; Mollusca; Bivalvia; Mytilida; Mytilidae
Exons: 4
Source: RefSeq, a predicted model, not a curated record
CUAUACGGUAUGUGUUUUUCUCAUUGUUGAAGGCCGUACGUAUGCCUAUAAUUGCUUUCAUCCUUUUCAUUUAAAUUUUGGUGGAUAGUUGUCUCAUUGUCAAUCAUACCACAUCUCCUUAUUCUUAUAAAGAAUGAUUUCAGAUUAGUUUUUUUAUAAUAUAAGAACCGAGGCAUCGAUUUCUGUAUGGAUGAUACAUGUACCCUAAUAAGACCGAAAUAAUAUGGACGUGGGUAACAACCGUAAUAAUUGAAGAAUACUUCCAGUCAACUGUAAAAUAUAUAAUCAUGUGUUGGUAUAAUGAUUGUGUAUUGUGUUGUAUUGUUCAGAUGUACCUUAUUUUUCCUCAUUGAGUGGCGAGGGAUUGAGAAUCAUUUGAAAAACCUGACUGAAACAGUGUGAGACUAUCGCAUCAGACUAAAAAAAUAUGCAACACAUAAACGAUAUCAAUCUAUUAUCUACAUUUGAUUUAAGUAUGUACACAUCUGUAUCGUUUAUAUUCAAUAUUUUGAUUUUAUUUUUAUUGAUAACUGAUUUCGUUUUUAUCUAUUUCAUCUUUAUUAAAACAUGUAUUUAAAAAUUUGGAAAUAGAAGUUUAAGCUUUUCGGCAAAUGUUGAAAAAAUGCAAUAAAAAAGGAAAUGGAAUAAAAUGAAACUAGAUAAGUACAAUUUCCGGUAUAAUUUGCUCCACAAAUUGAGGUUUGACAACUAAUGAAAAGUUUUAUUUCCGCUAUUUACACAUUUUCAAGUAUGUUAAAAUGUCAAUAACCUAGUUGCAGUUUUGGUUCAACAUUAAAAAUCCUUACAACGAUUACUGCAAAAUAUAACGAAUAAUAAACAUAAAUUCGGGAAUCCGUUUUAUUUGAAUAAAAAAUAUAACUCCCUGUGUGUCUUCAACUUUUUGGAUGUUUUGUUUUUAUCAUUAUCAAAUUAAAAAGAACAAUAUAUGUUUUAGGUGAAAUAUGAAGUUAUGUUCAUAACAUAAAUCUUGUAUUCUAACGAACAUAUGUAGGAUUUAAUAAUGUCCCCCAUGAAAUAAUGUCCACCGGACAUUAUUUCAUAGUAAAUACUGUCCAUGGACAAUAUUUACUUAUUUAAAUGUGUCCCGGACACAAUUUCCUAUGAAAAUAUGUCCUCAGGUAUGAAAAAGUGUCCAUGAACAUGGACAUUAUUUAAUACUAUAAUUCUGUCCAGGUGGACAUUUUUUCACAGGACAUUAUGUCCGCCAGGACAUUUUUUGAUAUGAUUAAAGUAUUAAAUGAUAUCCAUUGCCUUGUUAUUACUGGACGUAUUUUAACCUAUAAUUGCGAACUUUCAUACAUUGUUACUUUGACAGAGAGUUGUCUCAAUGGAACUCAUACCAUCCUUAUCUUCUUAUUUAUAUUUUUUAAUAUAUAUACAUGUAUAAUGAUUUAAAUUCAAACAAAUAGCAGAUGUUGUUCAGUAUUAUUUUCCUUGGAGGACACAAUUCAAUAACAAUUACUACGAAAAAUUGUCCUGUAGGUGGACCAUAUUUCAUAAAAGAGGGACGAAAGAUACCAGAGGGACAGUCAAACUCAUAGAUCGAAAACAAACUGACAACGCCAUGGCCAAAAAUAAAAAGACAAAUAGACAAAUAAUAGUACAGAUGACACAACAUAGAAAACUAAAGAGUAAGCAACACGAACCAAACCAAAAACUGGGGGUGAUCUCAGGUGCUCCGGAAGGGUAAGCAUAACUGUUGCUGUAAAAUGCUGUCCACUUAGAGGACAAUAUUUCAUGGCAAUUGACAAAAUUUAAUACCAAAAUUCUUUUCUUCUUUUGCCUUCUUCUCAUAAUAAAUAUAGUAAAGUUCUUCACAUUGAUUUUAUACUUUACACACUUCCUUCUUAUUGUUCUUCUUUCAUUGUCAUUUAUAGCAUUAGCUGGGUAUUUCUUAGAACUUAAAUGUCUCUAUAUUCACUUCCAUCCAUUAUUUGUUUGUUUACAUUUGUAUAUUAAUCAAUUUCUAAUCAAUCGUUCAGUUUUUAUUCAAAUUCAAGUAUAAUAAAACUUUUUAAUGACCUUUGUAUUACUUCCCUUGGAGGACAUAAUUUAAUAGCAACUACUAUGAAAACUUGUCCUGUGGAUUGACACUAUUUCAUAACUUUUGCAGUAAAAAUCUGUCCACUUGAGGGACAAUAUUUCAUGGCGAUGGACAUUAUUUAAUACCAAAAUUCUAUCAAAAACUGUCCAGGUGGACACUUUUUCACAGGACACUAUUAUGUCUUACACAUACACAAAUGAGUUCAACUCUAAACUGCUCUUAUUUCUUUAAUGCAUUCGUAUCUGAACAAUUAACACUUUUUUAAUUGCAACUGAAGUGCCUCGGGGGUCUCGCGGUAGCGUGGUUACCUCGAGUGCGGGAGAUCGUGGUGUUCGAUCCCGACCGGAUCAAACAAAGAAUUGAACAUUGGUAUUUGCUGCUUGUCCACAAAUUACGCGGCAUUUAGGAAUAAGAGCAAAUAUGGGUCGGCUCCGAACUAGAACAGUUUCUCCAGGAAGGGUGACAUGUCUUCCUGUGGUUGGUUACCUUGUGGCCUCUAGCUCUAGGUUCUGCAAUCUCAACCUUCCCCUUUUAAUCUAGAUAAGUGGACUGACAAAAUGUAGAUAAAAGAAAAUACAAUAAAAAUCAAUACAUGAAAUGCACUGUGUUCUAUAAAAUGGUACAAUAGCCUACUGAUAAGAAAGCAUGCAAUCAUAUACUCUGAUACGGGUUGCUGUACCUCAUAGUAGAUUUCAUACACCAACAUCACAUUAUAUUGAUAGACUAUCUUGUGCAUUUUUGUACAUUAUAACAAAAGUUAAUGCUCUUAACAAUGUAGGGAGGUAAAGAGAAGUGCAUUUAACAAACACAUAAGCAUUUGAAGGACAUUUGAAAAUUGGCGUUCAUUUUAGUAGGUAUUUUAUUCCCAAAUAAUGAUCCAUCUCAUUCAAAGUCUUAUGGAAAAUCCAGAAAGGCUGGUAUACGUUUGGUGGGCAGAUUGGUAGCGAUGAGGGGAGGAUGUACAAAUUUGCCUCCCCCUUAAUACGCCAGUAGACUUACUAGAUAUAAAAAAACGAUGUUAGGGUGUUGGGUUGCUGUCUCUUUGACGUACACCUUUAAUCAUAAAAUAUAGAAUGUCCGUGUAGUAUUAACAAGUACAUAUUCAUUCAUAAAUUAAAAGAUCAAUAAUCGGGGAUAUUCCCACGCUAUAUAAAGUACUAGGUGAAAUCCGUUAUAUACUUAUAAACCGUGACCUUAUAAUUAUGACAAAUAUGGAUUGUGAAAACUUUCAUUUUCAUUAACUGAUUACUGUGAUUGGAGUACCAAAAUCAGGGAGAAUUCCAGACAUUGGACAUAAAAGCUGAAGUGGUAAGUGUAAUAUUUCAUUCAAGAAAAAGUAACAACACAAAAAUGAGAGGUAAAAUCAAUGUUGUGGUUAAAAAUGUGCCCCUUGGAACAGGUGGCACGUGCAUGUAACAAGCUAAAAUGAUCUUGUCGGAACACUUUCAUUAAUUGUGAUCCCGUUUUCCAAGAUGAGAACACUUUUAUAAACACUCCAGUACUUUAUAAUGCUAUUUAUGAGAAUAUAUGUAAAUAUAUCUGCUUUUUUAAGAUAUAAUAAAAAUGCUUAAUAUGAAACCUAAACAUGAGCCAUUUAUUUAUAUAUGUAUUCAAACGGCAAAAUUAAUAUGUAUGAUACUUUCUCCAUUUUCAGUCCUAAUCGUGACGAUCGUGUCAUCUCUGAUAACAUGUCUGUAUGGAACACCAGUAAAACUAUACUGUAAUCCUUGUCGGAAUGGUCAAUACACACCACUUACACCAAGGAUAGACUAUGGUGUGACCAAAGAUAUACUAUCUAACGAAGUAGUUAACUUUUACCAAGUUCUGAAUACAGCAUACAUAAAAGAGUCAGCAGCUUUGACACAAUCAACGUCGAUGAAUGAUUUACGGGAUCUAACACCACCAUGCCCAAUGCCAACUAGACACUCAGUGAGAUCUUGGAUUAUAUGUGUAUACGACAAAAUAUCUGAAACUCUUAAAAAUGUGACUGACAACUCAAUAUAUAGUUCAACUUUGAAUACCAAUGAUAUUGUGAGAGCGGCUAGGAAAGUACUGUGCCAUUUUAAACUCGUAAUGAUACAGAUAACAGGCAGUCGUGACAGUCAUCUCCAAACAGAAUUAUCAGACAAUUCAUGUUCACCGAUUCCUCAACUGAGGAUGGUGACACCUGGUCCAAGAUUAUUUGAUAAAACCUUAGAAUCUUUACGAGUCGCCAGAAAUAUUUUAUAUAAAACAAACGAAACACUAGUUAUGAAUGUAUUAGAUUUAUUUAUGAGCUUGGUAAAUAGCAGUGCUUUGAAUGUGUUCAUAGAUGAAUUUAAGACGAUUUUCACAGUAACGGUGACGCACUUUGUAUUUCUUCCAUCUGUGUUUUUUUUCUUCUCUAAAUGUAAUAUAUUACAGGAAGGGAUAUUUCUGUUGUUUUUUUUUUUUUGUAAAACUUGUUAAAUUUACUUGUUUAAAAUGAAUCAAUUGACCUUAAAAUAAAUACUUUCAUCUUUUGGGGAAUUAUUGAAGAUAUUAUAUGCAAUGGUCUAUAGAAUUAGUGCUUUCAUGAUAUAGCUUUGGGUCACAGAUAUAGACUCUCUUUUCAUGGGACUUUCUUACUGUAAGUAACGUCAAAAUAUGAAACCUUUUCAAUGUAUUUGGCUUAAAUAAAAACCGAUACUUAAAAACAAUGAAACAAGAAAUAUCCCAUUCUAUGAUACCAUAAAUUUUCGCAUUUGCUAUUAGAUAUACACUUGUAGUUUUUUAUACAUAUGUAGUAAUUAUAACAUGCUUACACAUAUAAUCUUUUCUUGUGUGGUUUUAAUCUUAUAUAUAAAUAUGUAUUUGUACUAACUUAUUUUAAAAUCAUUUGGUUGUGGCUUAUAUGAAAAUGCAAACCGUGAUCGAUUAUUCUUAUAUUUUUUUUUAAAUCUUUAAUUGAUUUUAGAUAUUGAAAUACUUUCCUUUCAUAUACUUUUUUUUAUCUACUGUUUAUACUGUUAUGAUUCAUAUAAUAACCAACAGGUUAUAAGUUAAAUUUUAAUUUAUUCAUGACUCAUAAUAUCAAGAGGUCAUCUGUUUAAAAUUUGUUUAAAUCAUAUUUUUCCUUUUAUAAUGAUUUAUUUUUAAUAAAAGUGCGUACAAGGCACAAGACUUAGUGAAAAUGUAACAUACAUAAUUUCCCUGUUUGAAAAUAUUUUUUUGUAACAUGCAAGAUUUUUUUUUAAAGUUUCAGAUUUCUAAUACUGUAGCUGGAAGACAAAGAAAUAUGGCGAUUGACUUACAUUCCAGAAUAAUAAAGUUGUGAUUUUUAUACAAUGAUAUAUCAAUUGCAUUUGUGAUAUGUACAUAUAGUAGUAUUGCAUUUAUUUUGUGUUCUUGACAUGCAUUUAUGAUGUUUUUUUGAUCUCUUAUUUAUUUACAACAGAUAUUGUUUAUUAUUUCUAAUAUUUAUCUUUAUUGAUAUUAUUAAAACAAAAAUUCCACAGAAGCGGAUCCAUUGUUUGCUGUCUAACAUUAAAUUGUACUUUGAUUUGAUAAAACUACAUAGAUUUAUGAAUCAACUUUCAAACGAUGGUGUGAACCUAAACAUAACUUUAUUACAUCUAUAUAUGGAAUACUAAUGAGAGCAAAUUCAUGAUUCCGCUUUUGGGGGAUUAUAUUAUGUGUAUCUUUCAUUAUCAUGUGAUAAUGAUUUGACUAUAUAUUGUAUUGGUCAAGACCUAUCCUGUAGGAAUACCGUGUAAGCUCUAAGAGCUGUAUCCGUUCAUUACAUAUCAGGAAAACAUGUUUUUGUUUAUAAUAGUUUUCUUGGAAAUUUUUAUUUAUAUGUUUUACAUGAUAUUGAAUAAAUUUAUUGUUUA